AAGAAAGUUGACAAAUAUACCUUUCAAAAUGGUGAAAUCCAUCUCAAACUUGUUCCAAUUUUUUGUUGUUCUAGUUUUGGUUGCAGCUGAACGUAGGAUUACAACAAGUGGAUUGUGAAAAUAUAUGUGUAUCACCUAUGGGAGAAUGUGGUCGAGCGGGAGAUUGUGAUGAAAGGUGCAGAGUCUCAUACGAUGGUGGGGAAGGUUCUUGCACUCUUGGUCUAUGUAGUUGUACUCAUGGAUGUGAUUGAAGGAUCUAGAUCCUCUCAUGCCGAUUUCUCCUGUAGUCGUUCUGCGCUUAUCGCAGCCCUUAAUCACAAUUUUAUAUCUUUUACCAAUGUUUUUUUUAUAUUUAUCUAUUUUUAAUGAUGUUUAAGCCAUUAAAUAAAGCACGGGAGGGGAGACUGAACAUAAAAAGCACAGGAGGGGAAAUGAUCUAUUUUCGUGAUUGAAGGGCUUUAUGUUAUACUAGCGUUCAAACGGACACUUUGUAUCUGUUUAUCCGCUUUUUUUAUUGCCCUAACGCGUGAAAAUAUAAUAUUGUCUUUUUUAUAAUUUUGAUUUUAAUACAAACUAUUUAUACGAUGAAACAUUUUGUUUUUAUUCAGACACAUAUUAAGUUUUGUUUGUAAUAUGUAAUAUUCACGCAUUAAAUUAUUUUGAAUUGAGAAAAUCACAUUGUGACAUGAUUGUAAGACCCCAAUUUUGACCCUAAGAUCUCUCAUGCAAUCUCAUCAUAUGCAUUAGCAUUAGGAUCAUACCUUGGCAUCCUCCUUACCCCUCUUUCAUUGGGUUUGUUUUGGGAGAGAUCACCAAGCACCAUGUGAUUGUAUCAUACUUGUAUAUUUAUCAUUUCACUAAUCAAAAUACCAAAAAUAUGUGUUUGUAUUUGCCUAACUCUUUUGUAGGAAGGGCAUGAUCACCAUUGAUCUAUCAAGUUCACAUCUAGGGUUUGAGACCCUCAUAGCUAAGAUCACAACCAAGGAAUGAUCCACAAUGUCUCUAAGCAUCAUAUAUGAGUCCCAAUGAUCUCUACAUGUUAUUUUGAUCAAGCAUUCUAUAAGAGUUUGGAGUUGGUUUGCCUUGGAAACCCUAGUUUGUCUGGGUAUUUUGAGUAACUUCUUCAACAAGCUUCUUCACCAAUUGAUCAAAUUUCUCAAGGUGCACUUCAAAAUUCAUCAUCUUAUGCAUAUAUGAUCUACCAUGAGCCUAAAAAGUCAAGAGAAUUGCAAGCUAGCUAGUUGGUUGAUGGUGGUUGGCCAGAUGAAUUCAUCUGAUCAAAACUGGGUCCCCCUAGACCCUAUCUCCUACAAUUUUCAUCAUAUGAAAAUUAUUCCAAGAGCAACGUUACUCUAAAUUACAUUCCAAACAACUUUCAUGUUGAAGUCUAGAGCUAAUUUUUCUUGAAAAGUCAUUUUCUAUAUUGAAACA
Molecule: long non-coding RNA, 1431 nt
Organism: Lathyrus oleraceus (garden pea)
Lineage: Eukaryota; Viridiplantae; Streptophyta; Magnoliopsida; Fabales; Fabaceae
Exons: 2
Source: RefSeq, a predicted model, not a curated record